CGCACCCUGCGGCUCCGGCUGUUUGGGCCCGGCCGGGAGCACGUGGGCGCCGACCCGCUCGGGAACAAGUACUACCGCGUCCCCGAGCACCGCACCUGGGCAGGUGGAGACGCUGUUUGCUGGAAAAGAAGCAAGCCUGGAGAUACUUUGCUAUACAUGCCGUGCACCUGCCAAGAUGCUGAAGUCUCGUGUUACCUUCUCACAGCCAUGGCUAUUGGCUCAGCACUAACUUGUGCCCCCCACUACCUUCCAAAAACAAGGGAGAAAAAGUAUGCAUCUGAAUAAGCCCCACUGAAAUCUCCUGCACAGAACAGUAUAUGUCUCUAUCAAG
Long non-coding RNA from Alligator sinensis (Chinese alligator), 331 nucleotides. RefSeq lists it as uncharacterized. NCBI's taxonomy places the organism in Eukaryota, Metazoa, Chordata, Crocodylia, Alligatoridae. The transcript is spliced from 3 exons. The record is from RefSeq and is a predicted model, not a curated record.